GACGAACGCUGGCGGCGUGCUUAACACAUGCAAGUCGAACGAAGUGGCGAACGGGUGAGUAACGCGUAAUCAACCUGCCCUUCAGAGGGGGACAACAGUUGGAACCGACUGCUAAUACCGCAUACUGAAGGAGGGGAUUGCGUCUGAUUAGCUAGUUGGGGGGGUAACGGCCCACCAAGGCGAUGAUCAGUAGCCGGUCCGGGAGGAUGAACGGCCACCUUGGGACUGAGACACGGGCCAGACUCCGACGGGAGGCAGCAGGGGGGAAUCUUCCGCAAUGGACGAAAGUCUGACGGAGCAACGCCGCGUGAGUGAUGACGGCCUUCGGGUUGUAAAGCUCUGUUAAGCGGGACGCGGUACCGGAAUAGAAAGCAACGGCUAACUACGUGCCAGCAGCCGCGGUAAUAC
RNAcentral lists this ribosomal RNA (408 nucleotides) under uncultured bacterium. RNAcentral describes it as "partial 16S ribosomal RNA". It matches the Rfam family "Bacterial small subunit ribosomal RNA", at positions 28 to 526 of the family's 1533-position model. The record is from RNAcentral.